Molecule: long non-coding RNA, 2235 nt
Organism: Lolium perenne
Lineage: Eukaryota; Viridiplantae; Streptophyta; Magnoliopsida; Poales; Poaceae
Source: RefSeq, a predicted model, not a curated record
UAAAAAAAACCGCUAUGCACGAUCCUCGGCCCCCCACCCCGCACACGCCGCCGCACCCUGCACGCCACCCUCGCGCACUGGGCGCCCCGCCCCCAAGCACGCCGCACACGCUGCAGGCCGCCCCCAGGCGCCGCCGCGAACUGUAGGCCGCCCCCAAGCACGGGCGCCCCGCCCCCAAGCACGCCGCACACGCCGCCCCCAAGCACGCCGACACGCUGCAGGCCGCCCUCAGGCGCCGCCGCGAACUGUAGGCCGCCCCCAAGCACGCGGACCGCACACACGCAUGCUGACACGCUGCAGGCUGCCCCCAAGAACGCCGCCGCCGACUGCAGGCUGCCGACCUCAUCCGAGGUCACCUCCCAUACGCCGCCGGCGCCCUGCCCUGUCCAACCUCGCCCUGGCCGACGCGAUUUGGGCUUCGCAUUGCCCGCCGCCCUGGGUUGUUUUCGACAUGAAUUAUUUUUCAUAGAUAACAUCAAGAUUACCCCGACAUGUCCUGCUAAAUUGUGUAUUCAUUGUGUUACUGCAAGUAGCAGUCAGCACAGUAUAUUUGGCUAUUAGCUUCUGAAAAGCAAGAAUUCAACAUUUAUGAACAUUCAGUAGGAACUUCGAAUUAACUUAAUAUAGUUGUUCGUUAUGUAAUGAUGUGACUAUUUUUUGAUGACCAGGGAAUGCUUUCCGCAGUUUGACCAUGAUACCUCAACUACGGCCAUAUCAGCGGCAGGUUUGUUCCUUUGUAGUGAUCUGAACUUCAUAGGUAGGCAAUGUUCACAGUUUCUUAACACUGGUGAUACCUGCAACAUCAAAUACAGGUUUUGCGAAAUGACAUACUGGAUUUUUUUGGAUGCACCUGUUCCAUACAUUUGCGAGUUUCCGAGAUUUUGCAUUUUUUUGUUUCGGAUAAAUUAGAGAGGAUAAUGCAGAAAUUGUAGCGAUCUAUUUUUAGCCUGCAUACUCAGAAGGGAAUCAGGCCAUGUCCCUUUAAAUAGGCAAUGAAAUUGGACUAAGGUCCCUGCCUAUCUGAAGUGACGGGAUCCAGUUCGUGUCUAUCCUCCAUCCGUGCAUGACUUUCUGGAUAUAAAUCAACUCAUUGUGGAUGUAGAUUAAGUCUGCUCCAGUCCCGCAAAUUCUGCAACUGUUGGUAUGAAUGGGUUGUCGUCAUGACGCUACACAGGAAUAAGGGUGUGUUUGGUUCUGAGCCAAAGUUAGCCCCACCAAAAAUUGGUGCACCAAUGCUAUAUGACUGGUUUGGUUGGAUGCUCAAAACUUGGAUAGCCCAGCCGAGUCUGUAAGCAUGCAGUUAAAUUUUUCACUGAUCCCCAAGGCGGACUGAGGGUGGCCGACUUUUACGCCAAAAAGUUGGUCACACCCAAGAUUUGGUAUGUCUUUGUGGCUUAUACCAAAUAGGCCCUAAGAGCCAACAACGAGGAGAGGAGGUAGAGGUAUUGUGAAUGGCUACUAUGGUGGUGUGGUGCUGGUAGGAGCUUGUGCUUUGUAGAAUAUCACAGAUUAAUGUUUGAACCCUACUAGGCAGUGCUUUCCCAUGGAUGGCAGCAGUAGCGGUGGAAUGGGGGAGUCCAAUGUGUUUUAUAAGAUGUGUAGUUGCUGAAAUGAAGAUCGGUGUGGCAUCAGUUUCUUUGUAUCUUUCCCUGGUAAAUAAUACUAAGAACUAAUCAUUUAUUUCAUCUCGACGAAAUUUCACAAUUUAUUUUCUUGUGCCAUCUAAACUCUUGUCUGCAAUUUAUAUCUACUUCAAAUGCUAAUUUCUUGCAUGCUGCAUAUGUUUGUUUGGAAGUCUGUCAUUUUAAUCAUGUGUACUCAUUUUGUUCCACCGUAUUGGUUAGAUGACCUGUUCGAAUUUUCUUUUGUUAUAACAAAUAUUUUGGUGCAUACCUGGUUUGAUAAUUUUUCAGCAAAUUCCAGGCGCAAUAAUGGUUCGGGCAAAAAUAUGAUUCCGUUGUAUGAGUUGAAUAGAAGCUUGCAGCAGAAAGUGUAUUGACCAUCUUGGAAGUAUAUGUCGUACACACCCAGGAGAUUAGGGAGACGUGCAGUUGAUCCGGGAGCUAAGUGAGUGAUUGUUGAGGAGCAAGUCAAGAAAGAAAAUCCCCUCUAUUUUGUAGAUUAUUCCAGUAAUACAUAUAUUCUAAUUAUGCAUACAUGCAUCUGUUAUUAAUUUGAAUACAUACUAUUUGAAGACUUUAUCUGAUUUCUCUCCAACAGUGCAAUGCCAAACCA